This 1435-nucleotide ribosomal RNA is filed under the name metagenome. Its description in RNAcentral is "bacterial SSU rRNA". It matches the Rfam family "Bacterial small subunit ribosomal RNA". The record is from RNAcentral.
AUGCAAGUCGAACGGUAUAUAGUCUUCGGAUUAUAGAGAGUGGCGAACGGGUGAGUAACACGUAGAUCAUCUACCUUGAAGUGGGGGAUAGUCCAUGGAAGCAUGGAGUAAUACCGCAUAUGUCUUCGGAUGAAAGUUCCAAUCGGAACGCUUUGGGAUGAGUCUGCGGCUCAUUAGCUUGUUGGUGGGGUAAAGGCCUACCAAGGCAACGAUGAGUAGCCGGCCUGAGAGGGUGAACGGCCACACUGGGACUGAGACACGGCCCAGACUCCUACGGGAGGCAGCAGCUAAGAAUCUUCCGCAAUGGACGCAAGUCUGUCGGAGCGACGCCGCGUGAACGAUGAAGGCGGAAACGUUGUAAAGUUCUUUUCCUGAUGAAGAAUAAUGAGAGGAGUGGAAAGCCUUUCAGAUGACAUUAUUCAGGGAAUAAGCCCCGGCUAAUUACGUGCCAGCAGCCGCGGUAAUACGUAUGGGGCAAGCGUUGUUCGGAUUUAUUGGGCGUAAAGGGCGCGCAGGCGGUUUAACAAGCUUAAUGUGAAAUAUCCCGGCUUAACUGGGGACACGCGUUGGGAACUGUUAGACUAGAGUUUAGAAGGGGAAACUGGAAUUCCUAGUGUAGGGGUGAAAUCUGUAGAGAUUAGGAAGAACACCAAUGGCGAAGGCAAGUUUCUGGUCAUAGACUGACGCUGAGGCGCGAAAGCGUGGGGAGCGAACAGGAUUAGAUACCCUGGUAGUCCACGCUGUAAACGAUGUGCACUAGGUGUAGGAUAUUGAAUAUAUUCUGUGCCGUAGCUAACGCGUUAAGUGCACCGCCUGGGGAGUAUGCUCGCAAGGGUGAAACUCAAAGGAAUUGACGGGGGCCCGCACAAGCGGUGGAGCAUGUGGUUUAAUUCGAUACGCGAGAAACCUUACCAGGGCUUGACAUUUACAUGACGGUUUAAGAGAUUAGGCCUUCCUUUCGGGGACAUGUAAACAGGUGCAGCAUGGUUGUCGUCAGCUCGUGUCGUGAGAUGUUGGGUUAAGUCCCGCAACGAGCGCAACCCUUAUUGUCUGUUGCCAGCAUUUCGGAUGGGGACUCAGACAAAACUGCCGGUGACAAACCAGAGGAAGGUGGGGAUGACGUCAAAUCAUCAUGGCCCUUAUGUCCUGGGCUACACACGUGCUACAAUGGCAAGUACAAAGCGUUGCGAAAAGGUGACUUCAAGCUAAUCGCAAAAAGCUUGCCUCAGUUCGGAUUGGAGUCUGAAACUCGACUCCAUGAAGUUGGAAUCGCUAGUAAUCGCGCAUCAGCAUGGCGCGGUGAAUAUGUUCCCGGGCCUUGUACACACCGCCCGUCACACCACCCGAGUUGGGGGUACCCGAAGUCGCUAGUCUAACUUUUAGAGGACAGUGCCGAAGGUAUGCCUGGUAAGGGGGGUGAAGUCGGAACAAGGUA